CGUAGGGUGCGAGCGUUAAUCGGAAUUACUGGGCGUAAAGCGUGCGCAGGCGGUUUUGUAAGACAGGUGUGAAAUCCCCGGGCUUAACCUGGGAACUGCGCUUGUGACUGCAAGACUUGAGUAUGGCAGAGGGGGGUAGAAUUCCACGUGUAGCAGUGAAAUGCGUAGAGAUGUGGAGGAAUACCGAUGGCGAAGGCAGCCCCCUGGGUCAAUACUGACGCUCAUGCACGAAAGCGUGGGGAGCAAACAGGAUUAGAUACCCUGGUAGUCCACGCCCUAAACGAUGCCAACUAGGUGUUGGGGAAGGAGACUUCCUUAGUACCGUAGCUAACGCGUGAAGUUGGCCGCCUGGGGAGUACGGUCGCAAGAUUA
RNAcentral lists this ribosomal RNA (372 nucleotides) under uncultured organism. Its description in RNAcentral is "bacterial SSU rRNA". It matches the Rfam family "Bacterial small subunit ribosomal RNA", at positions 526 to 896 of the family's 1533-position model. The record is from RNAcentral.